UACGGAGGGUGCGAGCGUUGUCCGGAAUCACUGGGCGUAAAGGGCGCGUAGGCGGCGCGGGAAGUCAUCGGUGAAAGCUCAGGGCUCAACUCUGAGUCGGCCGGUGAUACUCUCGUGCUUGAGCACUGUAGAGGCAGGUGGAAUUCCGGGUGUAGCGGUGGAAUGCGUAGAGAUCCGGAAGAACACCGGUGGCGAAGGCGGCAUCCUGGACCGAUACUGACGCUGAGGAGCGAAAGCCAGGGGAGCAAACAGG
This 253-nucleotide ribosomal RNA is filed under the name uncultured bacterium. RNAcentral's name for it is "partial 16S ribosomal RNA". It matches the Rfam family "Bacterial small subunit ribosomal RNA", at positions 524 to 776 of the family's 1533-position model. The record is from RNAcentral.